Non-coding RNA from Podarcis lilfordi (Lilford's wall lizard), 67 nucleotides. The record is from the annotation of a GenBank genome assembly. NCBI's taxonomy places the organism in Eukaryota, Metazoa, Chordata, Lepidosauria, Squamata, Lacertidae.
GUAGCUGAGUGGUUGGGCAUCUGCUUUGCAUGCCAGAAGGUCCCUGGUUCAAUUCCUGGCAUCUCCA